UACGUAGGGACCAAGCGUUGUUCGGGUUUACUGGGCGUAAAGGGCGCGUAGGCGGCUAAUUAAGUCAUCUGUGAAAUCUCCGAGCUUAACUCGGAACGGUCAGGUGAUACUGAUCUGCUAGAGUGCGGAAGGGGCAAUCGGAAUUCUUGGUGUAGCGGUGAAAUGCGUAGAUAUCAAGAGGAACACCUGAGGUGAAGACGGGUUGCUGGGCCGACACUGACGCUGAGGAGCGAAAGCAUGGGGAGCAAACAGG
Molecule: ribosomal RNA, 253 nt
Filed under: uncultured bacterium
Lineage: Bacteria
Description: partial 16S ribosomal RNA
Rfam family: Bacterial small subunit ribosomal RNA
Source: RNAcentral